CAUAAGAACAUAUGAUCCAGACAGAAGCAGAAUAAGAACUCAAUCUCAUUUUUCUAGUCAGCACACUGCACAGAGAGUACAAAGGAAUCUUGCUGAGAAGCACAGGCUGCUAGUCAGUGACUCUCCGUACUUAUACUGUCAUCUUUUUUUUUCUAGAACUGUGUUCUAAACCUGCUGAAAUCGUUGUGCACAGGAGAAAAGCAAGCUCAUGUAACCUAAGAUGUAGUUUGAAACAACUGACUUAAAUGGGUAGUUUGGACAUUUUUAUUUCAGUUUUGAAAUGGCAUGAUUCAAUUUGGAUUAUGUAAACUGAGAGUAGAUUUGACAGGGUUAAGGUACACCAUAAGUCAUCCUUAAAUUGAAGUAGGCUUCCCUGUAUGGAGUUUUGCACUUGGUAACUCAAACUAAACCUGAUUUGUUUUCUUAAUGCAAACAGGUUCGAUAAAAGAUUUCUCUCCCUCACGUUACCUGGUGGCUUUCUCUCAUAAUACAAUGCAGUUUGUUGUAGAGUAGCUAAGGAAUAGUUUGCUGCUUGAACUGGCAGGCACACACAGGAUAUAGAAGGUGAAAGGAAACAUAGUAAGUGAUAUAACAAACUUUUGCCAAAUUGAGGUUAGAAAGAAUUUCUAUUUUUCUAUGUAUAUGUGUUAAAAUUCCUAUUUAUUCUGAGGGUAAUGAUAGUAGCCAACAGCCUUUUUCAUGUCUGAUCCGGGGACAAAAGGAUGCUCAGUCAUCUGUUCCUGAGGCAGUCAACACAAAACCUGUGGGAUGGAGAAGCUCCUUUGGCAGAUUCUGAAGAAAAGUGGUGUAUCAGGGAAGGUUUGUUUGUAGCUGAAAGAGGAACUGAGCUAAUACUUGGUAAAAGAAUAAAACUUUGUGUCAUUUUAAUAGUGAAACUUACCUUUUUUUUCCUCACCUGUUUAAAAAAUGCAAGUGGAGUGGUACAAAUGGCCUGUUUAAUACUAUUUUGUAUGUUUUAAGUCUUUUCAGAGUGGACCAUCUCCUGAGGAGGUUUUCCAUUUAUUAGUGUUAGUAUCAGAAUCACUGUCAGAGAAGACAAUGCUUCUAUCGCACCAAGGAUUUGACAGAAAGACUGAAAAGUAAGAAAUCAUGCUCUACGUUUUACAAAAUUACAGCUUUAAGAGGAGGCACAACAGUUUUGAAGUGUCUAUCAUCCAGAAGUAUCAGGCACAAAGGGAGAACUGUCUGACAUCACCUGAGCCUCUGCACACAGUCUGGAUAAGAGAGUGCUUUCUGACUUCCAAGAAAAACACAUGGAAAUGCAAAAAGCUUGCAUCUGGCCUGUUACCUCAUCCUUGGCUACCCGGGCUGCUUGGGAGUUGUCAUGGCAUUCCCAGGUCCUUUUCGCUUGCUACAUGAUAAAUUAAAGACUGUUGAGAGAAGGGACAUUCACAGAAAGGAGACAACACUUAGAGCUCCAACUGUUAGAAGGGAUGAUUUGCCAUUUCUGCAUGAACUGUUCUGUGGUGACAACGUAAAGCACAGCAGUGGAGCCAAGGCCACUGUUGGAGCGUGUCCCUUAGUCUCAGAAAUCAAUUUGCACUUAUUUAGGUUUGUUGUUUUUGUUG
Dryobates pubescens (Downy woodpecker) is the source of this 1589-nucleotide long non-coding RNA. RefSeq lists it as uncharacterized. The transcript is spliced from 3 exons. Lineage: Eukaryota; Metazoa; Chordata; Aves; Piciformes; Picidae. The record is from RefSeq and is a predicted model, not a curated record.